Molecule: ribosomal RNA, 964 nt
Filed under: Bacillus anthracis str. A0174
Lineage: Bacteria; Bacillati; Bacillota; Bacilli; Caryophanales; Bacillaceae
Description: bacterial LSU rRNA
Rfam family: Bacterial large subunit ribosomal RNA
Source: RNAcentral
AAAUUCCUUGUCGGGUAAGUUCCGACCCGCACGAAAGGUGUAACGAUUUGGGCACUGUCUCAACCAGAGACUCGGUGAAAUUAUAGUACCUGUGAAGAUGCAGGUUACCCGCGACAGGACGGAAAGACCCCGUGGAGCUUUACUGUAGCCUGAUAUUGAAUUUUGGUACAGUUUGUACAGGAUAGGCGGGAGCCUUUGAAACCGGAGCGCUAGCUUCGGUGGAGGCGCUGGUGGGAUACCGCCCUGACUGUAUUGAAAUUCUAACCUACGGGUCUUAUCGACCCGGGAGACAGUGUCAGGUGGGCAGUUUGACUGGGGCGGUCGCCUCCUAAAGUGUAACGGAGGCGCCCAAAGGUUCCCUCAGAAUGGUUGGAAAUCAUUCGUAGAGUGCAAAGGCAUAAGGGAGCUUGACUGCGAGACCUACAAGUCGAGCAGGGACGAAAGUCGGGCUUAGUGAUCCGGUGGUUCCGCAUGGAAGGGCCAUCGCUCAACGGAUAAAAGCUACCCCGGGGAUAACAGGCUUAUCUCCCCCAAGAGUCCACAUCGACGGGGAGGUUUGGCACCUCGAUGUCGGCUCAUCGCAUCCUGGGGCUGUAGUCGGUCCCAAGGGUUGGGCUGUUCGCCCAUUAAAGCGGUACGCGAGCUGGGUUCAGAACGUCGUGAGACAGUUCGGUCCCUAUCCGUCGUGGGCGUAGGAAAUUUGAGAGGAGCUGUCCUUAGUACGAGAGGACCGGGAUGGACGCACCGCUGGUGUACCAGUUGUUCUGCCAAGGGCAUAGCUGGGUAGCUAUGUGCGGAAGGGAUAAGUGCUGAAAGCAUCUAAGUAUGAAGCCCCCCUCAAGAUGAGAUUUCCCAUAGCGUAAGCUAGUAAGAUCCCUGAAAGAUGAUCAGGUUGAUAGGUUCGAGGUGGAAGCAUGGUGACAUGUGGAGCUGACGAAUACUAAUAGAUCGAGGACUUAACCAU